UCAUGAACAGGCCCGCCCCUUGCUAGAUAACCCCGCCCAAUUAAUACACCCAUUACUUCACAGAGGAUACUCAAGGUUUUGCUACGAAUUUUUAAAAUAAAGCUGGAGUUCUGCCAACUAUUCAACAGUCAGUGACAGACAUGGACGCUCUUUGGGCGAGCAACGUCAUUCGUGUGCACGGGGAAAGACGCAGUUGCCGGCGGAAGUGGAUAUUUCAUCACAACAUCUGGUUUCGGAAACCAAUGAAGGGUGCGACUCCGGUGCCAGGCCCGACCAUUAUGAGAGGAACUGAUGGGUCAGGUGGAAGUCGAAAGGAGCAGUUGGGUCUCAAACUCACAUAGACCUGACGGAGAGAGUGUCACAAUGUGCAUUCCAAAUAAUGAAAGUAAUUAGAACACUGCUGAAAAGCCACUGUGGGCCUCCCAAUCUAUUAAUUGAUCUACUUAACAUUCUAAGACAGACUAAUGAGAAAACUUAUGAGCUCCAACUAAAAUCCAUAGAGUGUAGAGAGAGAGGAUUUAGUUGCUUUCAUUCAAAUUACAUUUUGUUUUAAUCGACAACACAAAAACAGGCCCAAAACUUGCCAGUUGGUGGAGUCUCACGAAUUAAGAAGUGAGAGUAGGGUAAUGAAAAGCAAAUAAUGAAACCAGCUCAUUCCGACAGCGCUGGCUUUGCCAAGACUUGAAUAGUUCUCAUUUGAACAUUUCCCCAAUUUUUUAACCUUUGAAUUAAAGCAGAAUUGUGUACCUAAAAUUAAACUAAGAACAAAUUACAACAUCAUCAGAAGGGUUUGAUUUUGUGUGUAAUAGCUCAUUGACCCGAAUUUAAUAACAUUUUUAAUAACACAUUUUUGGAAAAAACGUUUUAUUUCAAUUGCGAUAAAAUAAAAUGUCAUACUUCUUAUCUGCUCAACAGUUGUUUACUGCAUUUAUCAUCACCAUUAAAGAGUUUGCAAUACAUUCAUCCGUCAUAAAAAAAAAAUAGGCCGCAAUAAUUGGAUUUAGCACUAUCUUGUAUUAGUUUUUUUAGAUAAUUAUAAUGAUGUCUGAAUGUAUGUAUUGUCAUGACUACUCAGUUCAGCAGGGCUGCACGAUUCAUUGAUAUUAAAUCCUAAUUGGAUUAAACCAGAUGUCGGCAAAUUUACUUUUAAAAGAACCAGAAAACAAGUCUAGAGAGGGGUGCAGCUGUCGAUUAUUUUAGUAUUCUAUCGAUUAGUUCACAUCGUUUGGCCAUUGCCUUCUUUAGGCUUAUAUUGAGCUAGCAAAGCUACAAAAAUAAAAUAAAUAAAAAAGCCUAGGAAAAAAAACAACUUCAAAGCACACAGUAGCAAACAGCAGCACUGCCUGAAUGAAACGUUUGUACAUCAAUGCAUAUUUUUAUUCCGCAUGUGGUUCGUAAAUAGAAAAGUACGUACAAUGGGGGAGUUGUAAAUCGAGGUUCCACUGUAUUUAGAAAAUAGACAAUAUAUAUUAGAAAGAUAAAAUGCAUAAUUUUUUUCACUUUGGAAAUUCACAAUCUGGCUGAGCUUCACUAUGCCUUCUUUUAUUUGAUUUUCCUUUAAACUUCCACAGAUUGUCUAGUGCAGUGGUUCUCAAACCUUUUUUUCCCGAAGUACCACCUCAGAAAAAUACUUAGCUCUCAAAGUACCACCACAAUGACCAAUAUCAAAUUAAAGUAGUGUAGGAGGCCUAAGUAUUCAUUAAAAACAAGGCAAAGGUUUUGUAUUUGAAAACAAUUUUGGCUACUGUAACAUUAUGCAUAGUUUAAACAACACUGUGUUUGAAUAUAGGAAAAUAAAACACUGUACUUUAAUCAAGUGAUUUUUUUUGGGGUGUACCACUAGUGGUACACAUACCAGAGUUUGAGAAUCCCUGGUCUAGUCUAUAACACUACUAUUACAGCUCUCCU
Long non-coding RNA from Nerophis lumbriciformis (worm pipefish), 1908 nucleotides. RefSeq lists it as uncharacterized. The record is from RefSeq and is a predicted model, not a curated record. Lineage: Eukaryota; Metazoa; Chordata; Actinopteri; Syngnathiformes; Syngnathidae.